GUAAACAUAGUUUAAUAAAAACACUGGAUUGUGAAUCCAGAAAUAGAGACUAAAACCCCUUGUUUACC
This 68-nucleotide transfer RNA is filed under the name Sphaerias blanfordi (Blanford's fruit bat). RNAcentral describes it as "tRNA-His". It matches the Rfam family "tRNA". Rfam says of the family: Transfer RNA (tRNA) molecules are approximately 80 nucleotides in length. Their secondary structure includes four short double-helical elements and three loops (D, anti-codon, and T loops). The record is from RNAcentral. Lineage: Eukaryota; Metazoa; Chordata; Mammalia; Chiroptera; Pteropodidae.